GGGGAUGUAGCUCAGUUGGGAGAGCACCUGCUUUGCAAGCAGGGGGUCGCCGGUUCGAAUCCGGUCAUCUCCACCA
Molecule: transfer RNA, 76 nt
Filed under: Acidobacteriota bacterium
Lineage: Bacteria; Pseudomonadati; Acidobacteriota
Also listed under: 9 other names
Description: tRNA-Ala
Rfam family: tRNA
About the family: Transfer RNA (tRNA) molecules are approximately 80 nucleotides in length. Their secondary structure includes four short double-helical elements and three loops (D, anti-codon, and T loops). Further hydrogen bonds mediate the characteristic L-shaped molecular structure. tRNAs have two regions of fundamental functional importance: the anti-codon, which is responsible for specific mRNA codon recognition, and the 3' end, to which the tRNAs corresponding amino acid is attached (by aminoacyl-tRNA synthetases). tRNAs cope with the degeneracy of the genetic code in two manners: having more than one tRNA (with a specific anti-codon) for a particular amino acid; and 'wobble' base-pairing, i.e. permitting non-standard base-pairing at the 3rd anti-codon position.
Source: RNAcentral